CGUGAUCUAUACGCGUUUAAAGCAAUUUUUUAGAACUAAGAACAAAUUUUCACCUCCCUAACUUUUAUCUCAUGAUAGGUCAUUUUAUAAUUUUCCCUUCGAUUAUAGGCAAUUGUUAUAUAUCAUGGACUCUCCUUUCACUAGGUAAAAACCUUGACCAGAAGCAAGGAAGUGCUUGCCCACGGGAAAUACCUUGCUGCUUGCUUAUUGGAAACACCUUGGAUACAAACAAAUGUUCCUUGUAUAAUCUACAUGUGAACCUUGCUUAAUCACAUCAAGACCUACAUAAAAUAAUUUACGAAAACAAAGCUCUUCUUAAUUUUCAAACACAUGUGUAAAAGGUCCACCAUGACUUAACAGCUUACUUUUUUUCGUAAAUUCACUUGAAACCUGAAGAAAUUUAAAAGAAACGUAUAAAUAUUUCCCGUCAAUCAAAGAGAAAGAGGGCCAACUAACUUACUGAUGCCCUUACAGACCUUUAUUAGACCCUUCGGUCUUCAGAAGACUCAUUGGAAACCACCCUUUGUAACUCUAGGCACCAUAGUAUGAACCAUCACCAACCAUCAAACUAUCUCUUUGUAUGAACGAAGAUCAUAAUUGUAACACCCAUAACCUGUAUCCGUCGCUGGAAUAAGGUUACAAGGCAUUACCAUAUAAAACACGGUUCAAAAUAGUCAUAUUACACAUGCUUUAAAAUCCCAUCAUUCGAAACAUAUAUACCUCUUACUCAUAUUAUUCAAAAAUCAAAUUAUAAGAUGACUCAUCACAUUACAAAUUCCAUGCACAUACAUUAAGACAUCCAAGCAUAUUUUACUUCUUAAGCUGAAUAUUAAAUAUAUCAAUUCAUACUUCUAUUCAUGUGCAUAAAACCAAACAAUCCAUAUCGCUCGGCUUAUUGUCCAUUAGAAAAUGCAACAUAAUCAAUUUCACCAAAUAGUCAAGUUUAGCAUAUAAACAUCUUAGCCACUAAUGCAUUUAACCUUAUCAACUAUGUGCCAUUUUUUUUUCUUUAAACUCAACUAAUAAGUCAUUCAUGCCUAACUUUCCAUUUAAGUACAAAACAUGUGUAUGCUUUGCCAUUCAUCUUAUCUUCUAUUUGGCUAGCAAACUAACCAUACAAUUUACACUCAAUUCGCAAGCUAAUUAUUAAGCCUAAAAUACAUAUAAAACCAAUACAUACUUUAUUCACUUGACUAACAUUAGCCAUUUUCCAAGUACUUUAGCCAUUCAAAACAUGCCAAUUCCAUACAGUAUAAAUCAUAUCAAAAUUUCAUAUACACACCCAAUGCAAAUAUUUCAUACUUACAAUAAUAAGUCAAUUACCAUAAUCGAUCAUACCACUAUGUAUACAUAUAACACAUUUUGUAAUUCAAGCAUUAAAACCAUUAGUCCUCUACAUACCGAAUUAUCAAAUAACUUAUCAAAGACACACACACACACACACACAUAUAUAUAUCAUUACGUCUUAUCAAAUUCAUAUACCAAGCAUACCCCACGCCUUUACUAUGACCAAAAUUACUUAAACCUUGGAUCAUUAGCAUUAGAUCAAGCCAUUUUCGCAUGGCUAAAUAUAUAUACAAAAACUAAAUUAAAAACUAGCCUAUACAUGCCACAUAACCAAAAACUCAAAGCUUUAAUUUACCGAAGCCAUAACCGGAUAGUGUGAUCACGACUCCAACGUCUUCCAACCCGAGCAAGUCUUUAGAACUCUAAAAAAAACAUAAGAAAAACACACAGAGUAAGCUAUUACAGCUUAGUAAGUCAUAAGCAAAUAGAUAACUUAACAACAUUAAUUAGUUACAACAAAAUCAAAUCAUGUUUUCAAUAUUCGUAUACAUUUCCAUAAUCGAAAAAUACAUUUAUCAAACACGUACUAUACAUCAAAUCCAUAUUUAACCAAAUACACAUAAGUUUAACAUUUGGCCGAAUGUAUAUAUAUAUAUAUCAAACAAUUUCAUGACAACCAAUAUAUGUACAUACUCACUAAUCACAAAGAUCCGAACGUUUAUAUGCUCAUCAAAUACAUUGAAACAAAUGUUCAUAUAUUUAUCCAUUACAUAUAACCAAAAUCAUAUAUAUAUAUACACCCAAUGCAUAUAAUCACUUAAUUUAAACAGAUUCACUGGCACUUCACCUGCUAGGCUUAUAGCCUGAUUCAGUUCACCGACACUUAGCUUGCUAGGCUUAUAGCCUGAUUCAGUUCACCGGCACUUAGCCUGCUAGGCUAAUAGCCUGAUUCAGUUCACCGGCACUUAGCCUGCUAGGCUUAUAGCCUGAUUCAGUUCACCGGCACUUAGCCUACUAGGCUUAUAGCCUGAUUCAGUUCACCGGCACUUAGCCUGCUAGACGUAAAGUCCAAAACAUUUCACCGGCAAUUAAUCUGAUUGGUACUAAGCUUUAAAAAAAAAUCUCAAUUCACAAAAGUUGUAUCUCAUAUUUGUAUAUAGAAUCCACAUAAAAUUCAGCUCAAUAAUUUAUAAACUAUAUCUUUAAAUAACAUAGAUGUAUAAAGUUCAAACAUCAAUUCCAGCUCAAUAAUUUAAUUAUACAUCCAAACCUAUAUAUAUAUAUAACUUAAUGCAUUAAUCUACUACUAAUAUCAUAUAUUCGAUCAUCUUUUAAUAAUCCAACUAAUAAUUUCAUACUUUCAAUGCUAUUCAAGAACUUUACAUGAAUAUAUACUUGUAUAUUAGCAUAACCGAACCUCGUGUAACCUUGUAUAAUUGUCAUACCUAAAUUCACUAUAAAAUCAUAUACGUGUAUGUAUACCUGAUCAUUCAAAUAUAAUAUAUAUAUAAUUACCAACUCACAUAUACAAAUAUAAGUUACAUAUCUUAAUCAAAUAUAAGAGUUUAUACAUAUAUAUAUUUAUAUACAUAUAUUCGGACCUAAUAUACAUAUAUAUGUAUAUAUCAUACUUACCUUGGAUUAAAACCAAGAAUUUAUACAUAUACAACAUUCAUACUUCCACUAAAUUCAAAAACUAUAUAUAUACAUAUGUAUAUAUAUUCGAUCAUUAUGUAUAUAAUUAUAAAUAUAUAUAUACAUAUUCAUACCUUUAUCUAAAUUCAAGGUUUAUUCAUGCUAUUACAUAUAUUUUUGAAUCUAUCAUAUACAAGUAUAGUUUCUUACCUAAUUUCAUUACAAUAGAUUUUCAUAUAUAUACAUGCCUAUCUGAAUCUCACCUUUACUUAUAUAAAAUUUAAACCUAUAAUUUAACUCAUGAACUUAUACAAGAUUAUACUUGUAUAUUCGAAACUAUCAAAUACUUAUAUAAAAUUUAUACUUAUACUUCAAAUUAUAAACAUUUAAUUACAGCUCAUCAAGUAUACAAUCGAUAUACAUGUAUAAAUAUUGAUUUAUUAACUUUUAAAUUGCUAAUAGACUUACCUCGGAUAUCGACGGACAUAGUCGACUACUUUCGACUUUCCCCGAUCUAAUUCCGUUUUCUUCUGUUCUUGAUUUAAAUAAGUUCAAAUUUAACUAAUUUAACCAAAUAUUCAUUUAAUUAAAUCCAAAAACACAUAAAUGGGUAAAUUACACUUUUUCCCCUAACAUUUCACAUUUUUCACAAACUAGUCCCUAUUUCACAAAAAUACAAAAUAAACAAACUUUCCUUGCACAAUAGCUUGGCCGAAUAUGCACUAAGCUCAUAUAAAUCCAUGCAUGUCAUUUAUUUCACAUUUUAGUCCCUCAAUUUAUUAUUUUUGCAAUUUAGCCUUAAUUACUCAAAAUCAUCAAAAAUUCAAUUUCAACAUAUAUAUAUAUCCAUUUCAUAUAUUUUAUUUUCUAUCAUUAAACAACAAAAUUACAAGCUUUCAACAAUGGCAAAACACAAAAUCAUCAUCAAAUUCAAAAAUUUAAGCAUGAGUCGAGUAGUAUUCGAAACAACGAUCUCAAAAACAUAAAAAUCAUCAAAAACCGAAACCGAAACAUACCUUAAUUUGCUUGAGCAAGGGCCGAAUACCUAGCUUGGUUUUCUUAUUUUCUUUCUCUUUUCAUUCGGCACAAAGAUAAUGAAUAUGACCACUUUCUUAUGUUUUGUUUUUA
RNAcentral lists this long non-coding RNA (4050 nucleotides) under Gossypium barbadense (sea-island cotton). Its description in RNAcentral is "long non-coding RNA (GBAR_LNC018273)". The record is from RNAcentral. Lineage: Eukaryota; Viridiplantae; Streptophyta; Magnoliopsida; Malvales; Malvaceae.